AAAGCUCAAAUUUAAAAUCUGGCGGUUUCACCGUCCGAGUUGUAAACUAGAGAAGUGUUACCCGCGUUGGACCGUGUACAAGUCUCCUGGAAUGGAGCGUCAUAGAGGGUGAGAAUCCCGUCUUUGACACGGACUGCCAGGGCUUUGUGGUACGCUCUCAAAGAGUCGAGUUGUUUGGGAAUGCAGCUCAAAAUGGGUGGUAAAUUCCAUCUAAAGCUAAAUAUUGGCGAGAGACCGAUAGCGAA
This 245-nucleotide ribosomal RNA is filed under the name Pleuroflammula tuberculosa. RNAcentral's name for it is "partial 28S ribosomal RNA". It matches the Rfam family "Eukaryotic large subunit ribosomal RNA", at positions 104 to 344 of the family's 3401-position model. The record is from RNAcentral. Lineage: Eukaryota; Fungi; Basidiomycota; Agaricomycetes; Agaricales; Crepidotaceae.